Molecule: ribosomal RNA, 2543 nt
Filed under: human gut metagenome
Description: bacterial LSU rRNA
Rfam family: Bacterial large subunit ribosomal RNA
Source: RNAcentral
ACCGCCUGAACUGAAACAUCUAAGUAGGGCGAGGAAGAGACAUCAAACGAGAUUCCGUAAGUAGUGGCGAGCGAACGCGGAAGAGGGCAAACCGAGAGUAGAAAUACUUUCGGGGUACGGACCGCAUUUAGGACUUAAGUUGUUAACCGAACGGCAUGGGAAGGCCGGUCAGAGAGUGUGAGAACCACGUAGGUGAAAACGGAAAGAGCUGCGCAGAUUCCAGAGUACGGCCAGACACGUGAAACCUGGUCGGAAGAUGGGGGGACCACCCUCCAACCCUAAAUACUACCCAGUGACCGAUAGCGUAUAGUACUGUGAAGGAAAGGUGAAAAGCACCCCGGGAGGGGAGUGAAAAAGAACCUGAAACCCUGUGCCUACAAGCACCUAGAGCACGUCAAUGUGUGAUAGGGUACUUUUUGUAGAACGGUCCGGCGAGCGAUUGUAUGCAGCAAGGUUAAGGACUUAAGGUCUGGAGCCGAAGCGAAAGCGAGUUUGAAAAGGGCGUUAAGUUGCAUAUAAUGGGCCCGAAACCGGGUGACCUACCCAUGGUCAGGUUGAAGUGGAAGUAAAAUUCCAUGGAGGACCGAACCGACCUCCGUUGAAAAGGCGGCGGAUGAACUGUGGGUAGCGGAGAAAUUCCAAUCGAACCCGGAGAUAGCUGGUUCUCCCCGAAAUAGUUUUAGGACUAGCCUCAAGUUAGAUACCUGGAGGUAAAGCACUGAAUAGCCUAGCGGCCGAGAGGUUAGCGAAGCUUAUCAAACUCAGAAUGCCAGAGUAUUGAUGCUUGGGAGUCAGACAGUGUCAGAUAAAUGUCAUUGUCAAAAGGGAAACAGCCCAGAUCUACAGCUAAGGUCCCAAAGUCAGGUUAAGUGGAAAACGAUGUGAAGAUACGCAGACAACCAGGAUGUUGGCUCAGAAGCAGCCACUCAUUCAAAGAGUGCGUAAUAGCUCACUGGUCGAGCGUCUUUGCGCGGAGAAUUUAACGGGGCUAAACCUGACACCGAAGCUUAGGCAAUACAGCAAUGUAUUGGGUAGGGGAGCGUUGUAUACGCGGUGAAACAGUAGCGCAAGCGGCUGUGGAGUGUAUAGAAGUGAGAAUGCCGGAAUGAGUAGCGCGAAUGCAGUGAGAAUCUGCAUGGCCGAAAGCCUCAGGUUUCUGGAGGAAGGUUCGUCCGCUCCAGGUUAGUCGGGAGCUAAGGUGAGGCCUAACGGCGUAGCCGAUGCACAGACGGUAGAGAUUCCGUCACCACCAAAAGAGUUAAGCACAGGGACACAUUUGAAGUCUCGGAGCCGGGUGUUGGUUCCGGUAGCGAUCGAGGGAAAUUAGUACCGAAGUCCGGGAUGGAAGAUGGCGAGAAAAGCUGUGUGUAUUUCUGCGGUGCCCGUACCGCAAACCGACACAGGUAGGUAGGAAGAAGAUUCUAAGGCCAACGGGAGAAGGGUUGUUAAGGAACUCGGCAAAUUGACCCCGUAACUUCGGGAGAAGGGGUGCUCCAGAGAUGGAGCCGCAGAGAAUCGGCCCAAGCAACUGUUUACCAAAAACACAGGUUUGUGCUAAAUCGAAAGAUGACGUAUACGAGCUGACGCCUGCCCGGUGCUGGAAGGUUAAGAGGAGAUGUGCAAGCAUUGAAUCGAAGCCCCAGUGAACGGCGGCCGUAACUAUAACGGUCCUAAGGUAGCGAAAUUCCUUGUCAGGUAAGUUCUGACCCGCACGAAAGGCGUAAUGAUUUGGGCACUGUCUCAACAGCCCGCCCGGCGAAAUUGUAGUACCGGUGAAGAUGCCGGUUACCCGCGACAAGACGGAAAGACCCCAUGGAGCUUUACUGUAGCCUAAUAUUGGGUUUCGAUGUUGCAUGCACAGGAUAGAUGGGACACAGGGAAACAAGUGCUUUGGCAUUUGUGGAGUGGCCGUUGGGAUACCAUCCUUGCGAUAUUGGAAUUCUAACCUGCGCCUUUGAAUCAAGGCGGGGGACAUUGUUAGGUGGGCAGUUUGACUGGGGCGGUCGCCUCCUAAAGAGUAACGGAGGCGUUCAAAGGUUCGCUCAGCUUGAACGGAAAUCAAGCAAAAGAGUGCAAACGCAGAAGCGAGCCUAACUGCGAGACUGACGGGUCGAGCAGUAACGAAAGUUGGAGUUAGUGAUCCGGUGGUAUGUGAGUGGAAAUGCCAUCGCUCAACGGAUAAAAGUUACCCUGGGGAUAACAGGCUGAUCUCCCCCAAGAGUCCACAUCGACGGGGAGGUUUGGCACCUCGAUGUCGGCUCAUCGCAUCCUGGGGCUGUAUUCGGUCCCAAGGGUUUGGCUGUUCGCCAAUUAAAGCGGUACGCGAGCUGGGUUCAGAACGUCGUGAGACAGUUCGGUCCCUAUCUGUCGUGGGCGCAGGAUAUUUGAUGGGAGCUGUUCCUAGUACGAGAGGACCGGAGCGGACGUACCUCUGGCGCACCAGUUGUUCUGCCAAGAGCAUAGCUGGGCAACUAUGUACGGAUCGGAUAAACGCUGAAAGCAUCUAAGCGUGAAGCCGACCCAAAGAUAAGAUAUCCCAUUGU